This 362-nucleotide unclassified non-coding RNA is filed under the name soil metagenome. RNAcentral's name for it is "partial contains 5.8S ribosomal RNA, internal transcribed spacer 2, and large subunit ribosomal RNA". The stretch from base 1 to 121 matches the Rfam family "5.8S ribosomal RNA", at positions 35 to 154 of the family's 154-position model. The record is from RNAcentral.
GAUGAAGAACGUAGCGAAAUGCGAUAAGUAAUGCGAAUUGCAGAAUUUCCGUGAGUCAUCGAAUCUUUGAACGCACAUUGCGCCUCUCGGUAUUCCGGGAGGCACGCCUGUUCGAGCGCCAUUACACACCCCAAGCUGUGCUUGAUGUUGGACGACGUCUGUAACGAGACGGGUCUGGAACGCGUUGGCGCCGCCGGCGGACCACGAGCGUAGCAAGACGCAAGUCAUAUCGCUCUGUUGGGCCCGGCCGGACGGCUGCCUGUGACUGCCCGGUAAGAGGGGCGGUCGCGACGACAACUGAAGUUUGGCCUCGGAUCAGGCGGGGAUACCCGCUGAACUUAAGCAUAUCAAUAAGCGGAGGA